UACGUAGGGUGCAAGCGUUAAUCGGAAUUACUGGGCGUAAAGCGUGCGCAGGCGGUUUUGUAAGUCUGAUGUGAAAGCCCCGGACUCAACCUGGGAAUUGCGAUGGAGACUGCAAGGCUUGAAUCUGGCAGAGGGGGGUAGAAUUCCACGUGUAGCAGUGAAAUGCGUAGAGAUGUGGAGGAACACCGAUGGCGAAGGCAGCCCCCUGGGUCAAGAUUGACGCUCAUGCACGAAAGCGUGGGGAGCAAACAGG
This 253-nucleotide ribosomal RNA is filed under the name uncultured bacterium. Its description in RNAcentral is "partial 16S ribosomal RNA". It matches the Rfam family "Bacterial small subunit ribosomal RNA", at positions 524 to 776 of the family's 1533-position model. The record is from RNAcentral.